CAUAGCUGAGAGUCAGAGUUCUCACGGCUAUGCAAAUCGAUACUUCCUCUGCCUUCCCUUUCUCUGCAGCUAGGGCAGCCGACUUUAUUUGCUCUUCCAAGGAAUUCCCCUAAUUUAACAGUAUUUUGAGACCUCUCCUGUGAACACUAUCUCCACUCUUCCUGUUUGCAGCCUCGUGUCAGACCUGCUACUGACCAUAUUUGCAGCUGAAACAAGAAGGAAAUGAGCUGGCUCCGUGCUCACUUCAGAGACAGAGGUCCUCGCAGAGGAGCCUCUUCCGAGACAGAAGCAAUGAAAAGCCAGAGCUCUGCUCAGGAGCAUGAGAUUAUUGAAUUACGGGAACAUAACGUGGAGGAAAGUGAGACUGAUCGUGACAAGCCUCUAAAUGCUCGAAAGAGAAAGGAGAGAGAUCCCUGGAAAUCAUGCAGGAAUGUAAUUUUCUGGAAGUGUAAACUAUGGAUGGCUAUAUCUACGAUAUUUCUAGUGAUCUUCCUGGUCAUUCUCAUCAGCCUAAUUCUUUAUUCUAAUGUUUACACAGAUGAAGAUGACUUCUGGGAUCCCGAUGAAUUACUAAGCAAUGGAAAUUUUCACAAUUUUUCAGGAACAUUGGAGUUAUUGUGUGGUCUUCCACACUUCUCCUCCGAGGACAUUACUAAGAGGCUAACAGAGGUCUACAGCUCAUCUCCGGCUUUAGGACAUUACUUUAGGUCAGCUCAAGUGAUUUCUUUCAGUAAUGAAAGCUCCACUGUAAUUUAUCAGCUAGUGUUUUCUGUACCACUAUCAACAGAGGGAUUUAUGGAAAACAGUAUGAACCCAGAUUUUAUAAGGAGCAUUUUACGUCAAAAUAUUUAUGAUGAAGAUACUCUUAAUCCUGGGACAUCUGAAUGUGACAGGUUAAAGCUCGACCCAAUUUCUCUCACAUGUAAGUGCUGUACCUUAGAGAAACUGUUUCUUUACAAAGAGCAGAAGUAUUUAUGGGAAAGGAGGGAAAUAUUUCUAGAAAGAUCUUGAGAUUCAUUAGUAUAUAUGAUUUGCAUAACAGUAUUAAGAAUAUUUUAAAAUAGCUUUCAGAAAGUCUUAAUAUGCUUAACCUAAAACCUGGGACUCACGGUUUUGUUCUCUGAUGAGAAAGGGAAUAGUGAUGAGACUGGUUAGCUGUGGACUCCAACCAAACUUUUCUGAUUUAAUAUUGCAUUUUAUCUGUACAGAAAAAUUCUCCUGGUAUGUAUGUGUACCAUAAUGGGGAGACAAAUAAUUUAAAAUAGUUCUCCUUAUUGUACAUUUGGUUUUAAAUGCUAAAAAAAAAAAUUUAAUCCAAUGUCACAGAUAUGUUUUAUGAAAAAUCCUUUCCUCAGGAUUUUUUCUCCUGAGAAGCUGAGAGGCCUCAGGAACAAAUGUAAACAAUGAUUAUCUGCUGCUGGGGAAUGCAACAGGUGGAUCUGUGAUUGGUCUCAUGCGGUUGUUUCCAAAUAAUGGCCAAUGCCAAUCCAGCUGUCCAGACUGUCUCGGUCAGACACAAGCCUUUGUUAUCAUUCUUUUUCAAUUCUUAGCUAGCCUUCCAAUGAAAUCCUUUCUUCUAUUCUUUUAGUAUAGUCUAAAUAUAAUAUAUAUCAUAAAAUAAUAUAUCAAGCCUUCCGAAACAUGGAGUCAACAUUCUCGUCUCUUCCUUCAUCCUGGGACCCCUGUGAACACCGUCACAAUCCAAGGCAUGAAUAAGAGUCCCGAUUUUUGUCUUUCUGUAGUUUUCUGGGAAAUUUAUUAUGUACAGAAAUACCUUUAAAGGAAACAAAUGUUCAUUCUUCCAGGUUUUCUAGGCAAUCACUACCAGCAACUAGGUAGUGAUUCCAAUUUGUCCUGAUAGAAAUGCCCAUAUAAAAGUCCCAUGAGCUUUGAAGCUAUACUAAAAACAAUGCAUGGAGCUGCCUCCCCCCAAUGCCAAUUUACUGAGCCACACCUCAUGUGCUUUUAGAAUAAUCGUUGGCUAACAAUUCAACAUUGCAGUGUAGGUAAGUAAGGUUUGCAAUUGACUCGUAUUGGUUUUUCUUGGGAUUCUUACCAAGGGACAAGAGAUCAACAGGUCAGGAGUUACAAUUUUUAGAAGAAUUUUAUUCCUUAUAUAUUGACAGGAUUCUUAGAAAAAGUAGUGUAAAAGUGUAGGGGUCUCUAGCUGGUCAGAGUGACCCCGAGAAAAGUUCAAAAGUCUGCCUUCCCAGCCCGGUGCCUGAAGAAGGAGUCAGGGCUCUUCAUUUCUCGGUCUCAAGGUUGCUUAUUGUAUCUUAUCUAUAAAAUUUUUUCUCCUGACCUGCCAAGGUCCACUCAGCAGAACAGUCAGAGGCACUCUGCCUGCUCCCAGGGCGGUGUUAUCUUUAUAUACUAAAAACUACGUGUACAAUAUUUACAAUUACUUUCCAAUACCUAUCACCUAUGUUAGACAGUGAGCUUCUACUCUAAACCAAUCUAAAAGUGCCAACAUCACCAGUGAAGAUGGAGGUAGAGAAGGAGAAGAAGAAAGGCUAGACACACCCAAAUCCCUCCAUCUUGUCCCCAAAAACCCCUAUACUAAAAAUCCCAAAACCUACAUUUAUACCCUGUGAUAACUUUAUUAUUACACUAUUUAAACUGCUGUGGCUUUUAGGUCUUCAUGUAAAGGUGGCAAUUUGCUCCAUGGUUCUUAAUCGAACCCGCUGGUGUUCUGGGCUGUGUGCCAGGGUCUCUGAGCCCCCUGACAGGGGUCCCGGCAACUCCGGACUCCCAAAGGGAUGUCCUGAGUUCCAGCAUAAAAGGAGACAGGAAAGAAUAUGUUGAAAUAACUAUUUAAAGUUUUGUUUUAAUAUUAAUAUAGUACUGUUUACCUUUCAGAGAAAUUAUGGAAAGAGUCCUAAUUUUCAUCACUACCUAGAAGAGAUGCGAUUCCCUGUCUACAAGUAAUCCCAGGGCAGGGAACUGUUCCUUAGCAGCUCUAGUCUUUCAACUGUGUGAGUUGGAAAAUAGUCAUCGGAAUUCUAAAUGCUGUGCUGUAUGAAGCAUGUCUGACAGAGCUACAAGGAAGAAAAGCACAAGAACCAGAAAUAUAAUUUGCAGGUCUUGUUGGCGGGGGAGGAAGCAAGUUUUAGUUGACACAUUGUAAUUGCUGUACGUUGCCAGGAAGAAAAAAAUCUCUCAAAGACUUCAGGAGUCUGCAGCCAUUUCAUCAAACCUCAGAGAACUAAAGAGAACAUCCUGGUGAAACUGAAAGGAAGAAAGUAAUACAAAUCACUGUGCUUUUAAAGCAGUAGCUGCAGAACUAUUUCUGCCUAAUUUAUCCCCAAGAUUUCACUGUCUUUGGAAUGUAACUGAAGCUCAGGCAUGGCGUACUGUUCUCAGAAAUGAGGACAUUGUGCAACUGGAGCUGGAGAGCAUGGCAUCUUACUGGCAAGGAAGGAGAAGGUCAGUAAUCCACCAAAAGUCUAUGCAAAGAUGAACAGAGCAGCCAUUCGUGCUUAAAGAUACAUUCACAAAUUUCAUACUUAAAGAUGCAUUCACAAAUUACAAAUAAGUGGUUGGGUUAAUGGAUCUCACAUUAUGAGUAAAAUGUUGUGUUUAAAGCAACUAAUCAACUGCUGAUAUUGUCUGGUCCCUGGAGAAAGGGCAGUGGUUCGACAGAGAUGCUGCAGCAGUUGGAUGCGCCUGCAAACACUGACUCAUGAAGGCUGUUAGGGAGGUCCCUGCAGGCUCAGGUUCCCUGUAGCACCAGGAGCUGUCAGAGGAAAAGCAGAGCUUGGAAGGAGCAGCCAGCAUAAACAGCUCUUUCUCACCAGGGAUGUGAUAACAAAUUAAAGCAAACAAAUUUUUCCCACUGGCAGAGCCACCUCUGUCCUUUGCUAAGACUUAAAGUUUGCUCUUCAGUGAAAAGUGUUUCCUCUAGCAGCACACAGUUUUGGUUCUGGAAGAUCAGAGUGUUUCUAAGAGAAAAUAAGUCAAUUAAAGCUGACAAGAAUAUUUCCUACAUACCAGCUGGGCUUGCAAUUCUUUUUAAAAUGAAGUGCAGUUCCUUUUGUGAUUGCUAAUUAGUGAUCUCACAUUUUGAUCAGGCCAGAAUGCCCUUCCAGAAAUUUUGCAGGAAAGUGCAACUAUGCAAGUAACUCAAGGAAAGGAAAAUAAGAUAUCUCAAAGGAAAAAGACAAUAGUAUGAAGCAAAUUCAUUUUUCAGACUUACGGGAAUGAAUUCUUGAACCUAUGCAAAAGCAUAUCCAAAAUGUGUCUUUAGAGGAAUACUGAUGCUUGAGCUGUUUCUAUUUUCAGAUUAGUUGCCACUAAGGAGAAAAGUAAUCAUAAAUGUGAAAGCAUGUUUGAGAAUUUUUUUGUGUCACUUUAUGGUUUGGGCCUGCUUGCUUGCAACUGAUUUGCAUAAUUUGAAGCUAAUCUGUGUGGCCAUUCAACUGAGGGAAAACAUUUUAUUUGCGAUCAUAGUUAUUUGUAGUAGUAAGAAUUUGCAAAAAAUGUAAGCCACUUCGUCAGAAAUCAGAAACGUGAAACAUAAUUUAUCAGUAGAAGUUUGAUUAGCAAAUGAGGUCUCAUAGCAUGGCUGCCCCCUGUGCCACAGGAGAGCCACCCAUGGGCUAAGGGCUUGGCUUGUUUCAGCAGUGAUCGCAACCCACACCAGAAAGGGGAAGACAGGCAUAACAGUGACAAAGGAAAAAGGCACAAAAACAAUGACUCAGACAAGUUGUGGACCUAUUUUUAUGGUCAUCUCAGGUGAUGGUGGAAGUGUGUGCUUGUGGAAGGCAACCCUGUCUUUCCAAGGGACUGGGCUGGGGAAGGAUCAUGGACCCUGUGGAGAUGGAGGCAACCUCAAUGGAGGAGAGGUGAGACCAAGGCUCUGCUCUUUCCCUGAGACAACAUGACUUAGGCCCUGAGUCCACCUCUUGGCUUACUUUGGUCUCCUUAACCUAGAGAAAGUUGUGUUACAGAAGCAUCAGCACCUCCAGGGUCUUUCAUCACCUCAUCACUGAAUUACAUGAUAGGUGCAGAUUCCUAACUCUGAGUUACAUAUGUGCUCUGUGUUACGUUUGUGCUAUUCGUUGCAGCAUGGCCUUUCCUGGAGCUCAGGUCAAGGCCAAGGUGGCCUUUCCUCUUGCAAUCCACAGACACAGGGUGCUGAGCCAGUUUCAGAAUCUGUGCUUGUAUUUAGGGGCUUAUGAAAACCCAACCUUAUGGACAAAGUGCUUCUGAAAAACCCAGUACCCAUGUCUUCUUAGCAGCACAGCUGGGAAAACCUGAGUUUCUGGCUCUGACAUUUGUUGUCAUAUCCCCUAAAAUUCAGUUGUGUCAUAGAGGCAGGAGGUUUUCACAAGGUGCCAUUUACUGUAGUUGCAUGGUGGGGAAUGUCCCCAGAGUAAGAGCGAAGCGUUUAAGAAAGGGGAAGUGGCACUUAGUGGAUUGCUCACUCGUCUCUCUGAGGGUACAGCUAAGAUGAUGAUGGUCACUUGCCUGCUCUUCUCCAGUGUCUGGACCACUGUUCCAGGUAACUCCCUUAUCUGUCUGGGUGUCUGUGUUGCUAACAGUGUUAGGGACCUUAGUGGCUGUGCCAGCCUUCUUCUGUGCUGCUGGGUGCUGCAGUCCCCACUUUGCACCCUUCUGGGGCAAACCCAGUGAUUACAUGGCACUUGUGGCACUGUACUACUUACCUUGGGCUCAGGCAUGUCACUGCUGGUUGCAUUGACAGCAUCCAGUUCUUAAUUUAGCACCAGUGCACCAUAAAUUCAAGACAUAUAAAGGUAUUGCAAUGGGCAAAUUAUAAAGCAGGCAAACCAUGCUUGUAGGUAUCUGCUCAGGCCAUCAAAGGCAUGGAUGUAUUACAGUAGUUUUGUAUUUAAAAAUCAUGUAGAAAAGGCUGAAUUAGUUUCAAACUAGCUUCCAUGAUCAUGGUUUGUAGUCUGCCUAUGGCACUGCUGAGAUCUAAAAAGCAAAGUGACUGGCUUCUUGGUCUUUGAUGGAAAUCUGCCUGGCCAUGGUCACAGCCAGCAUAACUUCAAUGCUGAGAUAUGAGGACAGAUGUAGUUUGCCUCAGGUUUCCUGAGAACCCUUGCUUUUUUCUUCUAGUUUCCUGAUCCUUGCCAGUUUCUGACAAGUGUGAAUACAUGAUGUAUGUAUAGUGAGACACAUAAUAAUUUUUAGUAUUUUUAUUGAUUUGCUACACCCCAUGCCACAGGAGGGCUAAGAGGGUGGUAUUGGGCCAGCAGCUGUUUGUUUGUCAUCAUGGCUGAAGGUUUAGGGAAUCUCUCUGUGAGUGCCCAUGGGAUAGCAGUCCUAGCGGACAAAUCAGUGGCUCCCAACACCAGAACUGCCUUUCUCAGUGGCGCUCUCUGCAGCACAGGUAUCAGGCUGGCAAAAUGCUUGGUGUGAGAGGUGGCAGGUCCAGGGAAACUCUCUGGGUGGUUCUUUCAAGUUCAUUUUCAACUUUUCCCUAGAUGGAGGCAUAGAGAAGUCCUCCAGAGUUGCUCUGCUUGGAAGUGAGGGUGAGGGGCUGCGGGGGUCUUUGCUGGAAUUGGGCUGCAGAAGAGUGUGAGAAAUGCUGAGUAUGGCACCUGCUUCUCCCCCAGCCUCUGUGCAGCUGACAAACAGAAAGGUCCAGUCAGUCCAGGUGGGAGGAAAUGUUACUUUUUCAUGACGGUCACUCACAAAAGAAGAUGUGAUACAGGUGACAUAGCAGAAAAAAACGGAUGGGGCUGAAGACAACAUAGCAACUUACAGUAUGAUGAAUGGCCAAAAAAUAGCCAAGGCCUAUGUAAGCCAUGUGAGAAUACUGUACAGCUUGUGGGAUUUGACCCAUGAAUAUCUUGAGCAGGUGAGCAGGUCAGCAUCAACUAGCUUAAAGAUGAGAGUUGAAAUUAAUCAUGAGUCAAGAUGGCAAUAUUUGUCACCUCUAUAUGAAAUCAUCAACUUGCAAGUGCAACCUGAAAUAAAGACUAAUAGAUGAACUAAAAAGAACUAAGAGUAACAAGCUGCUUAUCUUUUGAGGAAAGCUGCUGGGUUUUGUCCAGCUGAGAGAGCUGAGACAUUAAACAUGCUCUGAGGACACCCUGUUGGCUCCUAGCUUUCUCAGGGAUGAGACUACUGUGGGAUCAUAUCCCAUGUGGAGAGUAUCAGUGUCUGUGCCCUGUCACUGGUGAUAUGACCCCUGCAGAUUAUUUUGUUUAUCCCUAGUACCUUCUGCUGACAAAGACAUGAACACAUAUGUCCACAUACAUGUCUCUGGAGUCCUCUGUGUGGAGAAAGGAAGCUCCUAACUUAGAGGGGAAAGGAGGUGGUGGUAGAAAAUACAAGGGAAAACCCAGUCUGGAACAAAAUUUCUUUUUCCUCUCUUUUGGGAAAACUAGGGCAGAAAAGAGAAAUGAGGAGAAAUUAAUGCAGUAUUUAUAUAUGAAGAGGAAAGUUCCUAAAGAAAGCCAGUUCUGAGUCAUUCAUACGGUAAACACUGAUUAUACAUUACAGGAAAAACAUGCAAGUGCCUUGCAGAGGUAUGUUGUAAAUGAUCAAAUCAGCAGCCAAAUUUAUAAAAAAUUUUAUAAAUUUAUUAGAUCAACAACCAAAAAUAGAAUACUAUAAAACUGCCACAGCCAAGACAGCGUCAACCCCAGACUUUGAUGCUGGGUGAACUUGGGUCAGACCGACGUAGUGUCAGCGUCUCCCCAGAGUGUCACACCAACUGCUCCAGGUAGCCAGCUUAUAUACAGUCUAUUCUGCCUGAAGCAGAAAUGACCUAAGAUUUCUGUAAGUCCCUAACAUAUGUAUAACAGGAACUAUACAGAUUCAAUCCCAUACAAAAGUCAGUCCAUAGGUUUGGAUGGCUGUCUGGGCUCCUCGAAAUGGUCUUCCUUUCAGCUGUAUCCAGGACGUGGCCCACUUUUCGAUGUAAUCUCUCCCAGGUGUUGUUCUGUGAAUGUUCUGGACAUUCCUGGGAAAUGGUCGCUGAUCACCCAGGAAAGACUCAUUCACUCGUUAAUGGUCAUGAUUUUAUCUGGGCGAGUUUGGGAAAUCUUUUGGAAAUGAAAAGCUCUGCUUCUGGCCAUGGGGGUCAGAGGCAUAGUUGGAUCUCUAUAAUUUUUAUACAAUUUCCAAAGCAUGAAUUAUCUACAUCAUAUACUACACAGGGUAUAAUUUCUCCUAACUGAUGGAAAAAGGGCAAGAGGGAAUGAUACCUUCCUGCUUGCCUCUCACUUAGAUAAAGCUGGUUCUGUCUUAUGUGUCUCUCUUUAUAAAGCAAAUGUAGCCUGCAUCUCUCAGCUUUGGGAUCCUUUGACCCUGACAUUAGCCAGUUUGGGUUAAGAUUUUAACUCAUAUAAGCGUCCUUUUAAACAGCUGAGAUAGAUAAAAUAAAGGUUCUUCAGGCUGCAUAAAAUGUCCAUGUUUUGGCAUGCCAGGCUAUUUCAGAGACAUAUUGUGUUGGUAUUUUUCUCUGCCUAGAUACUGGGUUCCUGAUUCUAAGAGAGCAGUAAGAUGGAAGCAAAUUUGCUCCAACAGCUCUGGCUGAAGAUGUGACUUUGAAAAGUAGCUGAAAUGUUUGUCUUCGAUAUUUUACAGGCACAGGCUGAAAUAGGAAGAAUAUUCUUCUUCUGAAACCAGUGCUGACAGAGGCAUGAGACUAAGUUUGUUCAGUGAAAAGUAACUUUGUUUUGAUUAUAGACCUUUGAAAGCAUCACUCAUCAAUUCUCUGUUGUAAAUUUUCUUAUUAUAUCAGACAUGGAAGAAAAUAUAACCCAUUGUUUUUCAUUCAGUUUUCAGCACUGAGCCCCUGGAAACCAGAUGAAACAAGAGAAUUGUACUAAUUGAUUGCAUUUUUCUCUUUUAUAAAUGAGACUAUCAAGCCAGGCAGAUACAAAUCAAGUGUAUUUUUGUUUUCACUCUCAGUAUACCAGAAAUUGCUCAUGUUUUUGGAAGCCAUACAAAGGGUCUUCUCAUAGCUCUGCUGCUUUCAUUUUCAGACAUAUAAAGCUAUGUGUGAAAGGAGCACUGGAUACUAGUCCAACUCUUUGUGGAUGGACUCUGUUGUAGUCUGCUGAACUUUGAGAAAAGCUACCUGAAAUUUCUGGGAAGCCUGAGAGGAUCCUCAGUCUAGGACCCCAAUAAAAUACAGAGUUUUAAAUUCUCUAACCUGUCAGAAGCUGUGGUCCUUACCCUAAGGAAAAGGCAGUUAUGUCUAGUAAAAGAGCACUUGAAAGUGUACAUGAGAGGUGUUCUAAAUGAUCAGAUCGGCAGCCAAAUUUAUAAAAAAAUUUUAUAAAGAUUUAUUAGAUAGACAACAAAAAUAGAAUUUCGAAAAA
Molecule: RNA transcript, 9302 nt
Organism: Haemorhous mexicanus (house finch)
Lineage: Eukaryota; Metazoa; Chordata; Aves; Passeriformes; Fringillidae
Gene: C2H3orf52
Gene name: chromosome 2 C3orf52 homolog
Exons: 8
Source: RefSeq, a predicted model, not a curated record